GUGGUCAUUUUCUUAAUUUUAGGGCAUUCAGCAGAUGAGAAGGAUGAUACCUUGACCAAUCAGAAUGAAGACCUGGGGUCUGUUUCUUGUGAGAUCACUGGUGAGUUUGAAAACAGAUUUAAUAAUUAUAUGACUCUGUUUAUUUAAAGCUACUGAUUAUGUUUGAGAAAAUUUAAUGUGCCUGGAGCAGUCUCCCUGCCUUGGG
Molecule: long non-coding RNA, 205 nt
Filed under: Cyanistes caeruleus (blue tit)
Lineage: Eukaryota; Metazoa; Chordata; Aves; Passeriformes; Paridae
Description: lncRNA (ENSCCEG00000016355.1)
Source: RNAcentral